RNAcentral lists this ribosomal RNA (467 nucleotides) under uncultured bacterium. Its description in RNAcentral is "partial 16S ribosomal RNA". It matches the Rfam family "Bacterial small subunit ribosomal RNA", at positions 29 to 507 of the family's 1533-position model. The record is from RNAcentral.
AUGAACGCUGGCGGCGUGCUUCACACAUGCAAGUCGAACGGAAAGGCCCAAGCUUGCUUGGGUACUCGAGUGGCGAACGGGUGAGUAACACGUGGGUGAUCUGCCCUGCACUUCGGGAUAAGCCUGGGAAACUGGGUCUAAUACUGGAUAGGACCACUUCUUGGAUGGUGUGGUGGAAAGUUUUUUCGGUGUGGGAUGAGCUCGCGGCCUAUCAGCUUGUUGGUGGGGUAAUGGCCUACCAAGGCGUCGACGGGUAGCCGGCCUGAGAGGGUGUACGGCCACAUUGGGACUGAGAUACGGCCCAGACUCCUACGGGAGGCAGCAGUGGGGAAUAUUGCACAAUGGGCGCAAGCCUGAUGCAGCGACGCCGCGUGGGGGAUGACGGCCUUCGGGUUGUAAACUCCUUUCGCUAGGGACGAAGCGUUUUUGUGACGGUACCUGGAGAAGAAGCACCGGCUAACUACGUG